GGGAUAGACGUGGUUUCGACAGGCUUUAUGAAGUCGUAACAGCAUGCCAUGGUUGCGCAUGUAAAAACGCCGAGGUUUAAAUUAACCGCAGACAAUAAUUACGCUUUUGCAGCUUAAUAGAUAAUGAGCUGCGCCUGUGAUAAGGUACCCCUUAAGCCUUGUCAACGGGUUCAUUCAUUAAGGGUUGAAUCAGAAAAGGGCCUCGGUUUCUGAUUCGAGAUCCGGAGGCUAGUUUGCAGGUGUUUUGUUCUUUGUACAACUGCAAAUGAAAGACAAACAAAGGACUAAGCAUGUAGAAGUUAUGAUGGAUUAAGGUUUGGACAGGGGUUCGACUCCCCUCUAUUCCACCA
This 350-nucleotide transfer-messenger RNA is filed under the name Bacilli. RNAcentral's name for it is "DTU067 sp001512995 Standard tmRNA". It matches the Rfam family "transfer-messenger RNA". Rfam says of the family: Bacterial tmRNA, also known as 10Sa RNA or SsrA, is named for its dual tRNA and mRNA-like properties. Its role is to liberate the mRNA from a stalled ribosome. RNAcentral also lists the same sequence under 2 other names. The record is from RNAcentral. Lineage: Bacteria; Bacillati; Bacillota.